AUGGUUCAAUAAGGAAAUAGUGGCAUGUUACACAGCGGUCGCUGCAGCUGUAGCCGCAUCACCUUACCUUCUAGGCACUGCAGGAUUUACCACUGUUGGAAUAGCAGCUGGUUCACUUGCAGCCAAAUGGAUGGCAUUUGUUGGCAUUAUUUCUAAGGGUAGUUUAUUUGCGUGGCUUCAAAGUCUUGGUAUGGCUGGUAUGAGUAAAGCGGCGAUUAUAAAGGCCUUAGGUUCUGGUGCAGCUGUUUGUAAUGGUGUCAUAGACGUAUUCUCAGACAAUACUUGUGAAACAGAAUGAAACUUUACCGGUAUAUUGUAAUUUGGCGAAGGCCAUGUGAUUUGUUGAUAAAAUCUUUAGAUUUUGUUGCUUAAAAAAACGAAAAGAAAGAAACAAACAAACUGUCAUACACUUUUUUUUAAAUUUAUUUUGUAAUGUUCAACAGUAUAUUUAUCGAAGCGGCAAUUUAAACACGUAUCUCGAAGAUAACAAUGUACAUGAUAAUCUUAUCUUUUUAGUGGUGAUUCGAUAACAGUGUUGUAAAUAUUUUCCUAUAACAACGAUAGUUUAAUGUUUGAUAUAAGUGUAGAUUUUAAUGGAUUUUAAUGAUCAGAUUAAAGUUUUGUCUCAUC
Long non-coding RNA from Ruditapes philippinarum (Manila clam), 630 nucleotides. RefSeq lists it as uncharacterized. Lineage: Eukaryota; Metazoa; Mollusca; Bivalvia; Venerida; Veneridae. The transcript is spliced from 2 exons. The record is from RefSeq and is a predicted model, not a curated record.